Molecule: long non-coding RNA, 5256 nt
Filed under: Sus scrofa (pig)
Lineage: Eukaryota; Metazoa; Chordata; Mammalia; Artiodactyla; Suidae
Description: lncRNA (ENSSSCG00000052052.1)
Source: RNAcentral
CAGCAUACGGAAGUUCCCAGGCUAAGGGUUGAACUGGAGCUACAGCUGCCAGCCUACACCACAGCCACAGCAAUGCAGGAUCCGAGCCUCAUCUGCAACCUACACCACAGCUCCGGUGUAGCUCACAGCCAGAUCCUUAACCCACUGAGCGGGGCCAGGGAUUGAACCUGUGUCCCCGUGGAUACCUCAGUCAGGUGCGUUAAGUACUGAGCCACGACAGGAACGCUGGCAGCACCACGGCAGGGCCCAGCUCUGUACUGUGCGUGUGACAUCCGUGGGCGCGUCACUUCACAGUUCGGUGGUUGUGCUGUGCUGGGGCCAUGUCCGGGAGCCCCGGGGACACUGUGAGGGAAAAGGAGGACAGGAAGUGCUAGAAGAAUCCCAGAGAAACUAUGAGCUGAAGUCUUGGAACCAACAAAUACUUUUGCUGCUAAUCCUGAAAUCCGUAGUCACGCCCCGACGUGUCUGCCUGCGGUGCUGCUGAGGGACGCGUGGAUUACACACUGUACCAAAGUCCCUGGCUCCUUCCCUCCGUUCUGCUUCACCCCCGAAUCUCUUACUUCAAAAAAGUCUAACCUUUCCCGCCCCUUCCUUCUCCACUGUUCUUGAUGUCCAGCUCCAGGAAUCGGCCAGGACCUGUGUAGGUCUGGGUGCAGCGAGUGGCACUGUGACCUCGGGGCGUUUGUAAAGACUUGCUCAGGGAAGAAGACAGUGUGCUUCACUGCCAAUGCAUUUAGGAGCUCUUCGCUGGGGAGAGCUUGGGUUAGAAGAGAAAGCAUCCUGGAGUUCCCUGCUGGCUCAGUGGGUUAAGGAACCGGCACGGUCACUGCUGUGGAUCGGGUUCUGACCCUGGCCCUGGAACUUCCACAUGCUGGGGGCAUGGAAAAAAAAAAAAAAAAAAAAAGAGAGAGAGAGAGAGAGAAAGAAUCUUCACAAAAAAGAAUGUAAUUACAGUUUACUUGCUAACCUGGGUGUUUUACAGAUUAUUUCGCUUAGGGACCUUUGGAUAUGAGACAAGAAUUAUAUUUACUUUCCUUUAUUUCUUGGGUAACAUCUUGACUGAAAUUUAAAUAUUGGGCUAUAAAAACUUAAAAUAAUUUCUAGUGGAAAGAAAGAAAAAGGACAGGAAAAAGAGAGAGAAAGGGAGAAAAAGUGAGGGCAAGAAGGAAGGAGGGAAGGGAGGGAAAAGAGCAAGAAGGAAAAGACAAAAAAAAGCGGGAGGGAGGAGUGAGCAGGCUUCUCAAAUCAAAGCUCCUUCUUCUGGAGUUCCCACUGUGGCACAGUGAGUUAAGAAUCAACUGCAGCUGCUCAGAUCAUUGCACAGGUUCAAUCUCCGGCCUGGAGCAGUGGGUUAAAGGAUCUGGCGCUGCUGCAGCUGUGGCAUAAGUCACAGCUGUGGCUUGGAUUCAAUUCCUGGCCCAGGAACUGCCAUAUGCCACAGGUGUGACCAUGAAAAAAAUAAUAAAGAAAAAAGUCCUGGAGUUCCCAUGGUGGCUCAGUGGUUAACGAAUCCGACAAGGAACCAUGAGGUUUUGGGUUCGAUCCUUGGCCUUGCUCAGUGGGUUAAGGAUCCCGCGUUGCUGUGAGCUGUGAUGUAGGUCACAAACGUGGCUCAGAUCCCGAGUUGCUAUGGCUCUGGUGUAGGCCAGCAGCUACAGCUCCAAUUCGACCCCUAGCCUGGGAACCUCCAUAUGCCGUGGGAGCAGCACAAGAAAUCGCAAAAAAAAAAAAAAAAAAAAAAGUCCUUUUUCUGGGGGAGGUCACUUGGGGUCCCUUAAUCAAAAUCUUUGAUGUGUUGUCUUUUGAGAUAAUUGUUAAUAUUACAUUCCUACAAGUGACUCCAUUUGAGGAUGUUAAUCCUUAUUAUAUACGCAUUUUAAAUCUUAUUUUAAAUCUUGUCUCUCUCCAUUUGUCAGGAAAAAAACUGGCAAGGGUAGGAGUGACUCGUUGCGAUAAUUUCUUCUAGCCCUGUACUAUUUCCCUGGCAAUAUGAAUACCAUGGAAUUCUAUCUGUUUGGGCAGAACGUCUAUGUUCUUUUAUUAUUAUUUUUAGUAAACUAUAUAUACCCAGAGUUCAUAUGGAGGCUUCAGUUCUUGAAAAGAACUGAGGACUCACUAAGAUUUGUUCUCUCUGUACUUGGUCCCAUUGAGUAUGGGGAUUCAUUCUUCUCCUGGCAUAGGGUUAACAAAAGCAGGGACAAAGCCCAAUGCAGUCCAUCCAGAUGAAUAAGGUAAGAUGCCAAAGAAAACUUAUAGUUUGGUUGUCCUGGAUCUCAUGAAUGUAAAGUUUAUUUUUACCACCACCAGAACCAUCAGAUGCAUCCUUUUAAAAGGGAAACAGGAGAUUUCAGACACACAGAAAGGAGAAGGCAGUGAGACCUGAGAAGCAGAGACUGAGUGAUGUGGCUACUGGUCCAGGAAGGCUGGCCCUCUCAAAUAGUCCUUCAGCAGGAAUGUUUUCUAUCAGCACGCUCCAAUGGCUGUAGUGAGCCAUCCUAGAACGACGUGGCGCAAAUCUUACUACAAAAGCCAACACCAAAGAAUGCACGGCAAAAACAAAUAAACCACCACCAACAAAAAAUCAAUCUGGGUCCUUAAUAGCGUCACUGAGCCACUUAACCACCCCUGAAGGCAUCCUACCUCAGGACAGACUAUACAAGAGUAACUGAUUCUCCCUCCUGGUAUGAGACAUUAUUCAAGCCAGUUAGAUGGGAGUUUUCUGUUAUUGCAGCAGAAAGCAUCCCAACAGAUGGAAAAGCAUUGCUUUUUUAAAUGAGAAAAUACUUUUUUAAAGAAUGCAGCUGUCACCCUAUGGUCUUACUCUCUCUGCCCCUUGGUCACAUCUGGAAUAGAUGUUAUCACUGAGGUUAAUGCUAAGCAUCACUAUUUUAAAUAGGCCACACUUUAAUUUAAAAAAUUACUUUCAUCUUCAUUUAAUAUCCUACCAGCUUGCAUGUUUCUUGGGUUAGAGAAAAUAAUUAUACAUUAGAAUUUUUAAGGCUUAUUGCUGAAUACAUAAACCUUAGACCUGACACAACUAGAGGAAGAACAAACCCAAAGGGAAUAGAAGGGAAAAAAAUCAUAAAGAUCAGAGCAGAAAUAAAUGAAAUAGAGCCAAAGAAAACAAAUAAGGUCAAUUGAAAUUAAGUUAUUUGAAAAGAUAAAUAAAAUUGAUAAACCAGACUCAUCACAAAAAACAAAAAACAGAGAGGGCUCAAAUCAAUGAAAUUAGAAAUGAAAAAGGAGAAGUUACAACUGACUCCACAGAAAUACAAAGGAUCAUAAGAGACUAGAACAAACUAAGAAGUAUGGACAACACCAAGAAAUGGACACAUUCUUAGAAAGGUACAAUCUUCCAAGACUGAACCAGGAAGAAACAGAAAAUAUGAACAGACCAAUCACAAGCACUGAAACCAAAACUGAUUUAAGGAGGGCCCGUCGUGGCACAGCAGAAAUGAAUCCAACUAGGACCCAUGAGGUUGCGGGUUCGAUCCCUGGCCUGGCUCAGUGGGUUAAGGAUCCAGCAUUGCCAUGAGCUAGGGUGUAGGCUGGCAGCUGAAGCUCCGAUUAGACCCCUAGCCUGGGAAUGUCCACAUGCCGCAGGUGUGGCCCUAAAAAAGCAAAAAAUAACUGGUCUCAGCCCGUUUUACACGGUCAGUGCCCAGGAGGCUGACCUUGGACAUAAACUGACUACAGGCUCUUGCCUUCUGACUUCCUGUUGGCUUGUCAGCGGUUACACACUGCUCCGCAGGCCGAUGUGGGCUAGUGUGACGCUUGACCCAAAGUUGCAGCAACUGGCAGAUCCCAAACUUUACGAAGUUUUCUGUCUGAGGUUGAGUCCUGGCAGAGGUGCCAGCUCAGGCCCAGGGAGAUGGUGGUCCUGCCCCGUUACUUACCUGCACUGCAGCAUCAUUCCUUGAGAUUCCUUACACUCUGCUUUUACACCUUUGCUAGCAGUGCCUUUACUGAUAUUCUUCUGUAAGGACUCUGAACCCUUCAGUUGGCACCACUUUCCUAAUUUUACAAAUGUGAAAGCGGAGGCAGGAGGCAUUGAGAAACUUCUCAGAGGAGUUCCCGUCAUGGCUCAGCAGAAACAAAUCUGACUCGCAUCAGUGAGGACGCAGAUUUGAUCCUGGCCUCGCUCAGUGGGUUAAAGAUCCAGUGUUGCCGUGAGCUGUGGUGUAGGUCACAGAUGUGGCUUGGAUCUGGCAUUGCUGUGGCUGUGGUGUAGACCAGUGGCUACAGCUCUGAUUCGACCCCUCAUCUGGGAACCUCCAUAUGCUGUGGGUAUGGCCCUAAAAAGACCAAUAAAUAAAUAAAUUAAAUAAAACAGAAUCUUGUCAGAAAUCAUGCAGCUAUUGUAUGCCCAGGCCCAAAUGCACAUUUGAGUUUAAAGCCAGAGCUUGUAACUAUUGUCGCCCCAAGAGAUGUUCUUUGUUGGAGAUUGCACUGGCCACACGGCUUCACACAAGAAAUCCUAAAACUUUGCAGGAAGGCCUGGCAUCUGGAGGCUGACUGCUUGGGGUGUAUGGAAAUACACACUGCCUUUGUGACAGUUAUUAAAGCCAUUCACCCAAUAUUUCCAAGUCUUCUUUCAGGGACUCGUCUGAACUCUUCCAUCUCCUUAGAGCUGGGCGUGACCACGCCACUUUCUUUGGCUGGUGGAGGCGGGGAGAAGUGGCACUUCCAGGAGAAAUCGCCCCGAACCAGUGUGUGACUCCUCUCUAGUCUCCACCCCCAGCAACUGCGGCGAUGACUGACGGCAUCCCCUUCAGCCCGCGGUUCUGAGUUUGGCUGACAGAGGAUCAGCACUCCUCCCACCCGACCCACAAGAGGCACCUAAAUUAGGGAAAAGCUUCUCUGAGCCACUGAGACUUGGGGGCUGUUACGCCAGUAUAACCAAGCCUAACUCCCUGCUGCAGACGGAAGUGUAGGUAGAAGACACUGGAUCUGGGGGAGAGAUGUUAACGGGAUUAAAAUAGGGCUCAUAUCUCAAAGAACACCGAGCACUGUGAGGUACUGGGGUGGAUAUGAAACAUGUCCUCACUACCAUAAAAUCAGCGUCCACACCAUGACACCUCAGUGAACAAGGACCAAAAUCCCUCCUCCCUUCGAGAAGCUGCGGCUGGAAGGAAAAUUAAGGAAGACGAUGCCCAACUCCCCCCUUCUCAGUGAAUAUUCCACCUAUUCAUUUGAAUGCCCCUCAUAGCCAGCGUGCCAAAGAGGUGAACUGCUCACGUAAAUAAAUCCUCACUU